Molecule: ribosomal RNA, 450 nt
Filed under: uncultured bacterium
Lineage: Bacteria
Description: partial 16S ribosomal RNA
Rfam family: Bacterial small subunit ribosomal RNA
Source: RNAcentral
CCUACGGGUGGCUGCAGUGAGGAAUCUUGCGCAAUGGGGGAAACCCUGACGCAGCAACGCCGCGUGAGUGAGGAAGGUCUUCGGAUCGUAAAGCUCUGUCGGGUGGAACGAAAUGUAUGGGGUUAAUAGCCUUCAUACUUGACGGUACCACCAAAGGAAGCACCGGCUAACUCCGUGCCAGCAGCCGCGGUAAUACGGGGGGUGCAAGCGGUGUUCGGAAUUAGUGUACGCGGAUUGGGAGUACACGGCUGAAAGCCCUGGGCUUAACCCAGGAAGUGCAUUUGAAACUGCCAGGCUUGAGUAGGGGAGAGGGAAGUGGAAUUCCUGGUGUAGAGGUGAAAUUCGUAGAUAUCAGGAGGAACACCGGUGGCGAAGGCGACUUCCUGGCCCUAUACUGACGCUGAGACGCGAGAGCGUGGGUAGCAAACAGGAUUAGAUACCCCGGUAGUC